This 489-nucleotide ribosomal RNA is filed under the name uncultured bacterium. RNAcentral describes it as "partial 16S ribosomal RNA". It matches the Rfam family "Bacterial small subunit ribosomal RNA", at positions 30 to 506 of the family's 1533-position model. The record is from RNAcentral.
AGUGAACGCUGGCGGCAGGCCUAAUACAUGCAAGUCGAACGGCAGCACAGCAGAGCUUGCUCUGUGGGUGGCGAGUGGCGGACGGGUGAGGAAUACAUGGGAAUCUGCCCAGUCGUGGGGGAUAACGUAUGGAAACGUACGCUAAUACCGCAUGCGCCCUUUGGGGGAAAGCCGGGGACCUUCGGGCCUGGCGCGAUUGGAUGAGCCCAUGUUCGAUUAGCUAGUUGGCGGGGUAAAGGCCCACCAAGGCGACGAUCGAUAGCUGGUCUGAGAGGAUGAUGCCCCAACCGGGGGUGGAGAAGCGGCCCAGCACCCGAGGGGGGGCAGAGGGAGGGAAAGUUGGCAAAGGGGGGGAAGCGGGAUCCAGCCGUGGCGGGGGGGUGAAGAAGGCCCUCGGGUUGGAAAGCGUUUUUGGCGGGAAAAAAAGGCAUUGGGUUAAAACCCGGGUGUUUGAAGGGAACGGGAAGAAAAAGCACCGGCAAACUUGGG